UAAAACGACUCUCGGCAACGGAUAUCUCGGCUCUCGCAUCGAUGAAGAACGUAGCGAAAUGCGAUACUUGGUGUGAAUUGCAGAAUCCCGCGAAUCAUCGAGUUUUUGAACGCAAGUUGCGCCCGAAGCCUUCGGGUUGAGGGCACGUCUGCCUGGGUGUCACGCA
Molecule: ribosomal RNA, 166 nt
Filed under: Porlieria microphylla
Lineage: Eukaryota; Viridiplantae; Streptophyta; Magnoliopsida; Zygophyllales; Zygophyllaceae
Description: 5.8S ribosomal RNA
Rfam family: 5.8S ribosomal RNA
About the family: 5.8S ribosomal RNA (5.8S rRNA) is a component of the large subunit of the eukaryotic ribosome.
Source: RNAcentral